CUGAUUUCACUAUCAUUUCAAAAACCUUUCAAAAUGCCCGCUUCCCUGCUCCUCUCUCUCUCCGGCGAUUCCAGAUCUGGAUCUAGGGUUUUUCUCCAUCACGUUUCUACUACUCCAAUUCCUCAUGGAAAUCAUACAGUCGUCUCAAAAUCAAACAGUCCUCUCAAAAUCAAACUCAAGUCUAGGUUUUGAACUUCAUGGAGCGUUGAAGAUGAUGCAAGCAGCUGCUUUAAUUGGUGGUGGUUAGCAACGAUAGAGAUGGUGGUGGUCUGAGGCUUGUGGUGUUAAUGGUUAGCGUCAACAGAUUCUGGUGACCCAACCUAGGGUUUAGAGCUUCGACCAGAUUCUGGUAGCCCUAUCUAGGGUUCUGACCAUAACCCCAAUCCGGUGAAAGUUGUAGAUAGUAAAGGAAUGACAAUGAAUUUCGUGUUGUGUGGUACCGUAUCUCUCAUUUCACCAUUUUUUAAAAAUUUUAAGUUAUAGCAAAUGACGAGGUUUUAAUUUUAGCUAAGGUUCAUAAAAACUUCAUUAGAGAUGAUGGGGUUUUAGUUUUUGAAUUGGGGGGUUUUGGGUUUAAUGGGGUUGUUGAUAUUUUUUUGUUAAACUAAAAACCAGUUGAUACUUAUGAGUCAAAUGAAGUUAGCUGAGAUACAUAUGCUACUUGAAGCAACUUUGUCAAGCCAAUUAAGGUUUCAGUGAAUAAAGAACUGUCAUAUUUCAUAUUUCUGUCAUUAGUUAUAUGACUCAGAAUUUAACAAUACAGUUUAUGUUUGUUCAUUGUUGGUAGAUUAAUGAAGAUCUUCUAAAAGAACAAAAUAUGUGAAGAAAGAGUAUAAGGAAAUCCACGAGGGUAGUUCUCUUUUUAUACAACUACUGUAGCUGUUCAGCAUAACCCCCCCCCCACACACACACACACGUGAGAGGUGAUAUUAGCCCGAUUACCUUUAAAAUGGGUCGAUUUGGGUUUAGUUUUGCUGGGCUGAGUUGCAGGUCACAAGGUAGAGGUUGUGGUGAUAUUUGUGCAGUUCUGAACAGGUCAGAUUGGGGUAUUGGGACCUGGAUGUGGGGAAGAUGAGUUGUUUCUGAUGGUCAAUCUACUGCUUAUAGAAGUUAUGUUGAAAGGUUCAUGGCCCUUGAUGAACUUUAGUCUGAUCCAAACUCAAAGAGCCUGAAGAUCGGUGACCUUUGGUGGCAACGGUCAUGAAGAAGCUAUGGUAGCAGUCGGAAUCAAGACUAGAUGGAAGUGGUUUUGGGUUGCUAGGGUUCUGUCAUGAACCCAGGCAGUGUUGACACCUUAGAAAAGCUCGAUGAUGAUUAGGGGUUGAUUCCAGGUAGUCAAGAACAGAAUAAGAUCGAUGGCUCCUUUCAUCCAGUUUCGGUCGUUCAUCGGGUGCCGCUACGAAACCAAAGAUGGUUGGGCAUUGUCUCUUCACUCUUGAAUUAUCAUUCGUAGCCUUUAUCCAGUUUCUGUUUGUCGAUUUGUAUGGUCGUGGUUUUGGCGAUUAACGCUAACUAAAACAAUGCCGGCUAUUAGGGAUUGGUUAUGGUAUGUCUCCAGGUCUGAUUCCUUUCAUUGCUGAUAUACAGUCUGAACAUAGGUAACUUUAAUUUCAAUCUUAGUGCAGCGGUCCGGUUUGUCAAUUGUUUAUUGUCACCAUCUAUUGGUUUUUAGAUACUAUUUUCUAAGCGUGUUUGGUUGAUUGAAUAGACUUGAUUUAGAGUUUGGUACAUGAAAUUUUCAUUUCGAAACUUUAAAUUGUUACACACUAACGUUUUGACAAGUCUUGCUAGCUUUUAUAUAAGUUAUGUUAUUCAAUGCUCGGUUUAACUUAAAAAUCAAAUUUUAGCUCUUUGUUUAUUCUAUUCUGAUGCUAUUUUCUUAAUUUGCGGUUCUUCAAGUUUUAAUGUUCCAUGCAACGUGGCUUUUAGCGGUGAACCAGCUCUCUCAAGAGUUUCUGGAUCCAAAUCUUCUCGUGCGUUCUAGGUCGAUUGGGUCAGAUUGGUCCUGUAGAUUUGGUGCUUUUACAAACAAAACUGGUUUUUAGUAGGUUUGUUAAUUUUGCCCUACUAACCGGUUGAAGACAUGCUUUUUAACCUGAUUUUGAAAACAUAUUUUUACGCGUAGGUUUGAGUGCAUUUUUGUAGAUUAUUAUAUUGUAAACCCAACAUUCUAAUUGGUUAAUUUGAAGUUUGAUAAUUACCUGUAUGUGUUUAGUUUGUCAAAUUAUCACUUAUUUUGUGUUCUUUCUGACCGGUAGAUGGUGAAUGGGUAAGUUUGCAUUGGAAUUUUUGCAAUUGGGGAUAUUAAGAGGGUACCCAACCCCAAAAGAUACUCGAUAUUACAAUGUUAUUCUCACACUUCUCUUUUACCUUUAUGUAAAGGGUUUUUGCUGUUGAUGCUGAAAAUCUAUGUAUCGCUCAUCUAGGUACCGGGGUGUUAUUGGCGGUGAUUCACUAAAUCUGGGAAUUGCAGAGUUUGGCUGCACCUAUGCUGCAACAGGUUCUGCGGUCACCCGAAACUGCUUGUGCACCAUCUUUAUAGUACAUUUGAUCAUCAUAUAACUAGAUCUGGGAUUACAGUUUGAAUGUUAGAUAAUGAUAGCAUUCUUCAUUGUGUAUAAUAAAGUUGGACAUUUGUAAGCUAA
Long non-coding RNA from Helianthus annuus (common sunflower), 2645 nucleotides. RefSeq lists it as uncharacterized. The record is from RefSeq and is a predicted model, not a curated record. The transcript is spliced from 4 exons. Lineage: Eukaryota; Viridiplantae; Streptophyta; Magnoliopsida; Asterales; Asteraceae.